AGGGCAUACGGUGGAUGCCUUGGCACGGAUAGGCGAUGAAGGACGUGGUAAGCUGCGAUAAGCCUCGGGUAGGUGCAAACAACCUCAGACCCGGGGAUUUCCGAAUGGGGAAACCCGUCCGCCGUAAUGGGCGGACACUUCCUGCUGAAUACAUAGGCAGGAUAGAGCGAACGGGGGGAAGUGAACCAUCUCAGUACCCCCAGGAAAAGAAAGCAACAGCGAUUUCCUGAGUAGUGGCGAACGAAAGGGAAACAGCCUAAACCGUCCCGCUUCGGCGGGGCGGGGUUGUGGGACAUGCCAUCAACGGGUUGGACGUAUAGCAAAACUCUUCUGGAAAGGGAGACCAUAGAGGGUGAUAGUCCUGUAUGCGAAAUACUGAAAACUCAAGGCAUGCUCCCGAGUACCACGGGACACGUGAAAUCUUGUGGGAAUCAGGGUGGACCACCAUCCAAGGCUAAAUACUCAUCCGUGACCGAUAGUGAACCAGUACCGUGAGGGAAAGGUGAAAAGUACCCCGGCGAGGGGAGUGAAAUAGUACCUGAAACCGUAUGCUUACAAUCAGUCGGAGUCCGCCUCAGGCGGAUGACGGCGUGCCUUUUGCAUAAUGAGCUAGUGAGUUACUUGUCUGUUGCAAGGUUAAUCCGCUCAGCGGAGCAGCCGCAGCGAAAGCGAGUCUGAACAGGGCGCCAGAGUAACAGGCAGUAGACCCGAAACUGGGUGAGCUACCCAUGGCCAGGAUGAAGUUUCGGUAACACGGAAUGGAGGUCCGAACCCACCAAAGUUGAAAAUUUGGGGGAUGAGCUGUGGGUAGGGGUGAAAGGCCAAUCAAACCCAGUGAUAGCUGGUUCUCCCCGAAAUAGCUUUAGGGCUAGCCUCGUGUUAGUGUCGCGGAGGUAGAGCACUGAAUGGCGUAGGGGCCUACCCAGGUUACCGAAUCCAAUCAAACUCCGAAUGCCGUUGACAUGAUGCACGGGAGUCAGGCUGUGUGGGAUAAACUUCACAGCCGAGAGGGAAAGAACCCAGACCACCAGCUAAGGUCCCCAAAUGCAGGUUAAGUGCUAAAGGAUGUAGGAUCGCAUAGACAACCAGGAUGUUGGCUUAGAAGCAGCCAUUCAUUUAAAGAGUGCGUAAUAGCUCACUGGUCAAGUAAUCUUGCGCCGAAAAUGAUCGGGACUCAAGCCUGCUACCGAAGCUGUGGAUUCCGCCUUUGGCGGACUGGUAGGGGAGCAUUCCACUUACCCGCGAAGGUGUGCCGUGAGGCAUGCUGGAGGAGGUGGAAAAGAGUAUGCUAGCAUGAGUAGCGAUAAUUCCGGUGAAAAACCGGAACACCGAAAAUCUAAGGUUUCCUGAGUAAAGCUAAUCUGCUCAGGGUUAGUCGGCCCCUAAGCCGAGGCCGAAAGGCGUAGGCGAUGGAAAACGGGUUAAUAUUCCCGUACCACCUGUAAACUGUUUGACCUAUGGGGGGACGCAGGGGUGAAAGGUCAGGCCCGUGCUGGAAUACGGGCUCUAAGUGCGUAGGCGGAGAGGGUUGGCAAAUCCGCUCUCUCAACGCCGAGACACGAAUGGGAGGGCUCUGCCCACAAACUGACCCUAAUCGGACUGCCAAGAAAAGCCUCUAUGGAAGGGUUAUGGGUGACCGUACCGUAAACCGACACAGGUAGAUGAGGAGAGUAUCCUAAGGUGCUCGAGAUAGCCGUGGUUAAGGAACUAGGCAAAUUGCCCCCGUAACUUCGGAAGAAGGGGUGCCCUGAUUAGGUGAAUUCCCUCGCGGAAGGAACCGAAAGGGGCCGCAGAGAAAUGGCUCUGGCGACUGUUUAACAAAAACACAGGUCUCUGCUAAAUCGUAAGAUGAUGUAUAGGGACUGACACCUGCCCGGUGCCGGAAGGUUAAGGGGAGGGGUUAUUCCGACUUGUCGGAAGAAGCUCUGAACUGAAGCCCCGGUAAACGGCGGCCGUAACUAUAACGGUCCUAAGGUAGCGAAAUUCCUUGUCGGGUAAGUUCCGACCUGCACGAAUGGUGUAACGACUGGAGCACUGUCUCGACCACGGCCUCGGCGAAAUUGUAGUGGCGGUGAAGAUGCCGCCUACCCGCGGAUGGACAGAAAGACCCCGUGAACCUUUACUAUAGCUUAGCAUUGGGUUUUGGCAAAGCAUGUGUAGGAUAGGUGGGAGGCGUUGAAGUGGCGACGCUAGUCGUCAUGGAGCCAUCCUUGAAAUACCACCCUUGUUCUGUUGAAAUCCUAACCGUGGGCCUUGAAUCAGGUCUCGGAACCGUGCUAGGUGGGUAGUUUGACUGGGGCGGUCGCCUCCAAAAAAGUAACGGAGGCUCCCAAAGGUUCCCUCAGCACGAUUGGUAACCGUGCAUAGAGCGUAAAGGUAUAAGGGAGCUUAACUGCGAGACCCACAAGUCGAGCAGGUGCGAAAGCAGGGCUUAGUGAUCCGGCGGUGCUGUGUGGAAAGGCCGUCGCUCAAAGGAUAAAAGGUACUCCGGGGAUAACAGGCUUAUCGGGUCCAAGAGUCCACAUCGACGACCCGGUUUGGCACCUCGAUGUCGGCUCAUCGCAUCCUGGGGCUGUAGCAGGUCCCAAGGGUUUGGCUGUUCGCCAAUUAAAGCGGUACGUGAGCUGGGUUCAGAACGUCGCAAGACAGUUCGGUCCUUAUCCUCCGUGGGCGUAGGAGAUUUGAGGGGAGCUGUUCCUAGUACGAGAGGACCGGAAUGGACGAACCUCUAGUGUACCAGUUGUCCCGCCAGGGGCACGGCUGGGUAGCUAUGUUCGGACGGGAUAACCGCUGAAAGCAUCUAAGUGGGAAGCCCACCCCAAGACGAGAUCUCCCUUCCGCCGAAAGGCGGACUGAAGGCUCCUGGGAGAUGACCAGGUGAUAGGCCGGAGGUGUAAGUGCAGCAAUGCAUUCAGCCGACCGGUACUAAUCAGCCGUGAGGCUUGACC
This 2948-nucleotide ribosomal RNA is filed under the name sediment metagenome. RNAcentral's name for it is "bacterial LSU rRNA". It matches the Rfam family "Bacterial large subunit ribosomal RNA". The record is from RNAcentral.